RNAcentral lists this long non-coding RNA (348 nucleotides) under Androctonus crassicauda. Lineage: Eukaryota; Metazoa; Arthropoda; Arachnida; Scorpiones; Buthidae. The record is from RNAcentral.
AUUUGCAUAUAGGAUGGAGAAAUACUUGGACCUUUAAGGAGUCUACAGAACUGCUGUCUUUUCAAAGUGAAAUAGUUCGUCCUUCAUUUUACACUAAAGCGUAAUGUCAUGAAGUUUCCUAUCUGUACAGAUUAUUUAAAUCAUAGAAAUGAAAAAUGUUCUCUGCUUGCUACCAAAGGACAAACUCUUGGAAACGGACAUUUUCUGCCCUCCUCCCUCCAAAGAAUAUUAAUAGGCAUCAAGUAGGAGAAAAAAAAAGAAAAGAAAAAGCAAAACCAUACUGGAAAAUCCUUCAAGCAGGGAUAAAAGUCGAUCUUCAAACAGUUAACUUACGUAGACCAAAAAUUC